Long non-coding RNA from Oncorhynchus tshawytscha (Chinook salmon), 1623 nucleotides. The record is from Ensembl. Lineage: Eukaryota; Metazoa; Chordata; Actinopteri; Salmoniformes; Salmonidae.
GUCAGUUCUUCAUGGUGGACAAAGGGAUACAAAACCUAUUCCGUUCUGACUCUCCACAGCAGUACCAGGCCCCAGCCCAGCCACCACCUCCAGCCUCUCCUCCCGUCGUCUCCCCCCCAGAGGGUGACCACCACCUAGCCCUGCGAGCCUCCGACGGACCCCUGCCCGGCUCCUUCCCCUACUCCUCUGCCACUCAUCUCAAACGUCUCCACACCGCCCCCAUCUGCUCCUCCAACACAGAGACAGAGACAGCCCAGCAAGAGCCACCGGGCCUGGGCAGGCCCUCCAUCGCCUGCUCCCUGGGAUCCAACCGUCCAGCCGACGACCAGGAACAAACCCAAGACGACGCGGUCUCCUCCAGCACUGACCCCCAGGGGAGCACUGUGGACCCCCACCUCCAGACCCACCCUUACAGAGUCAGACCCCGAGCCCACCGACGAGGGCCUCCGUCGGGGAAGAUCAGCUCGCCCUGCCUGGAGAGGCUGCUCCAGUCCAAGGAGAGCAUCAUCUCACCCAGAAACAUGGGAGGUCAGAGUCCGGGAGGUGGUGGGGAGAGCAUCAUCUCACCCAGAAACAUGGGAGGUCAGAGUCCGGGAGGUGGUGGGGAGAGCAUCAUCUCACCCAGAAACAUGGGAGGUCAGAGUCCGGGAGGUGGUGGGGAGAGCAUCAUCUCACCCAGAAACAUGGGAGGUCAGAGUCCGGGAGGUGGUGGGGAGAGCAGCCGUUCGUAACAGCUAGACUCAGACAUGGUCCAUGGAGGAGAUAAGGACUGAUCUGGGCACAGAGUUGACCCGGGAGACACUGAGCUGUAUCUUUCCACAACAGGCUCCCCAAUACAGCAGGGGGCAAAGGUCGGUGUCUGAGCGGGACGCUGUCUCUUUAAGAGCUGUGUGUCAUGUGAUCCAUCAUGUGAUCCAACUACGGUUGGUUUAUCUGCAGUAAGACACUGAGACAUGGAGGAGACAUAUUAUAGACCUGCAGUAAGACACAGAGACAUGGAGGAGAGGAGACAUAUUAUAGACCUGCAGUAAGACACUGAGACAUGGAGGAGACAUAUUAUAGACCUGCAGUAAGACACAGAGACAUGGAGGAGACAUAUUAUAGACCUGCAGUAAGACACAGAGACAUGGAGGAGACAUAUUAUAGACCUGCAGUAAGACACAGAGACAUGGAGGAGACAUAUUAUAGACCUGCAGUAAGACACAGAGACAUGGAGGAGACAUAUUAUAGACCUGCAGUAAGACACAGAGACAUGGAGGUGAGGAUACAUAUUAUAGACCUGCAGUAAGACACUGAGACAUGGAGGAGAGGAGACAUAUUAUAGACCUGCAGUAAGACACAGAGACAUGGAGGAGACAUAUUAUAGACCUGAAGUAAGACACAGAGACAUGGAGGAGACAUAUUAUAGACCUGCAGUAAGACACUGAGACAUGGAGGAGAGGAGACAUAUUAUAGACCUGCAGUAAGACACAGAGACAUGGAGGAGAGGAGACAUAUUAUAGACCUGCAGUAAGACACAGAGACAUGGAGGAGAGGAGACAUAUUAUAGACCUGCAGUAAGACACAGAGACAUGGAGGAGACAUAUUAUAGACCUGCAGUAAGACACAGAGACAUGGAGGAGA